UUCGAUUUAAUUCGUAAACAAGCAGUAGUAAUUCCUGCUUUAUCAAGAUAAUUUUUCGACUCAUCAGAAAUAUCCGAAAGUGUUAACUUCUGCGUCAUGGAAGCGAUAAAACUCUGCAGGUUGGAUACGCCAAUCAUUUUUAUCGAAGCGCGCAUAAAUUUGAGCAGAUUUGUCGUCACAGGUUGCGCCGCCAAAACGUCGGCUACAGUAACUUUUCCCAGCCUCAAUCUCAUCUCUCUUUUUGCGUUCUGCUUCAAUAUCUGGUUGAACGGCGUCGCGUCGUAACCCAGCUUGGUAAGUUGGAUUAAGCACUCCGUGGACAGAUUUGUCAUUGUGAGCAUUUUCAUCCCGAAGUUGCGGCUCAUUC
Molecule: ribosomal RNA, 367 nt
Filed under: uncultured prokaryote
Description: partial 16S ribosomal RNA
Source: RNAcentral